This 497-nucleotide ribosomal RNA is filed under the name uncultured bacterium. RNAcentral's name for it is "partial 16S ribosomal RNA". It matches the Rfam family "Bacterial small subunit ribosomal RNA", at positions 28 to 507 of the family's 1533-position model. The record is from RNAcentral.
GACGAACGCUGGCGGCGUGCCUAAUACAUGCAAGUUGAGCGAUGAAGAUUGGUGCUUGCACCAAUUUGAAGAGCAGCGAACGGGUGAGUAACGCGUGGGGAAUCUGCCUUUGAGCGGGGGACAACAUUUGGAAACGAAUGCUAAUACCGCAUAACAACUUUAAACAUAAGUUUUAAGUUUGAAAGAUGCAAUUGCAUCACUCAAAGAUGAUCCCGCGUUGUAUUAGCUAGUUGGUGAGGUAAAGGCUCACCAAGGCGAUGAUACAUAGCCGACCUGAGAGGGGGAUCGGCCACAUUGGGACUGAGACACGGCCCAAACUCCUACGGGAGGCAGCAGUAGGGAAUCUUCGGCAAUAGACGAAAGUCUGACCGAGCAACGCCGCGUGAGUGAAGAAGGUUUUCGGAUCGUAAAACUCUGUUGGUAGAGAAGAACGUUGGUGAGAGUGGAAAGCUCAUCAAGUGACGGUAACUACCCAGAAAGGGACGGCUAACUACGUG